UACAGAGGGGGCAAGCGUUGUCCGGAAUUACUGGGCGUACAGCGCGCGCAGGCGGUUGCCGACGUGCCGUGUGACAAACGGGGGCUCAACCCCCGAGGGCCACGGUAAACGGGGCGACUGGAGGACGGGAGAGGGAUGUGGAAUUCCCGGUGUAGUGGUGAAAUGCGUAGAUAUCGGGAGGAACACCAGUGGCGAAGGCGACUUCCUGGCCUGUUCUUGACGCUGAGGCGCGAAAGCUAGGGGAGCAAACGGG
Molecule: ribosomal RNA, 253 nt
Filed under: uncultured bacterium
Lineage: Bacteria
Description: partial 16S ribosomal RNA
Rfam family: Bacterial small subunit ribosomal RNA
Source: RNAcentral